This 639-nucleotide ribosomal RNA is filed under the name uncultured bacterium. RNAcentral's name for it is "bacterial SSU rRNA". It matches the Rfam family "Bacterial small subunit ribosomal RNA", at positions 89 to 763 of the family's 1533-position model. The record is from RNAcentral.
GGGUGAGUGGCAGACGGGUGAGUAACACGUGGGAACGUACCUUUUAGUUCGGAAUAACUCAGGGAAACUUGUGCUAAUACCGGAUACGCCCUUAGGGGGAAAGAUUUAUCGCUGAAAGAUCGGCCCGCGUCUGAUUAGCUAGUUGGUGAGGUAAAGGCUCACCAAGGCGACGAUCAGUAGCUGGUCUGAGAGGAUGAUCAGCCACACUGGGACUGAGACACGGCCCAGACUCCUACGGGAGGCAGCAGUGGGGAAUAUUGGACAAUGGGCGCAAGCCUGAUCCAGCCAUGCCGCGUGAGUGAUGAAGGCCUUAGGGUUGUAAAGCUCUUUCGGCGGGGACGAUAAUGACGGUACCCGCAGAAGAAGCCCCGGCUAACUUCGUGCCAGCAGCCGCGGUAAUACGAAGGGGGCUAGCGUUGCUUGGAAUCACUGGGCGUAAAGGGCGCGUAGGCGGCCGUAUAAGUCGGGGGUGAAAGCCUGUGGCUCAACCACAGAAUUGCCUUCGAUACUGUAUGGCUAGAGACCGGAAGAGGUAAGUGGAACUGCGAGUGUAGAGGUGAAAUUCGUAGAUAUUCGCAAGAACACCAGUGGCGAAGGCGGCUUACUGGUCCGGUUCUGACGCUGAGGCGCGAAAGCGUG